This 113-nucleotide ribosomal RNA is filed under the name Agreia sp. Leaf335. Lineage: Bacteria; Bacillati; Actinomycetota; Actinomycetes; Micrococcales; Microbacteriaceae. The record is from RNAcentral.
UUCGCGCGCCCGAGAGGGAAACGCCCGGUCACAUUCCGAACCCGGAAGCUAAGACUCUCUGCGCCGAUGGUACUGCAAGGGGGACCUUGUGGGAGAGUAGGACACCGCCGGAC